GACGAACGCUGGCGGCGUGCCUAAUACAUGCAAGUCGUGCGGACCUUGUUGAAAGCUUGCUUUUAAAAGGUUCGCGGCGGACGGGUGAGUAACACGUGGGCAACCUGCCUGUAAGACUGGGAUAACGCCGGGAAACCGGGGCUAAUACCAGAUCGUUUUUUCCUCCACAUGGAGGAAAAAGGAAAGGCGGCUUCGGCUGCCACUUACAGAUGGGCCCGCGGCGCAUUAGCUAGUUGGCGGGGUAAUGGCCCACCAAGGCAACGAUGCGUAGCCGACCUGAGAGGGUGAUCGGCCACAUUGGGACUGAGACACGGCCCAAACUCCUACGGGAGGCAGCAGUAGGGAAUCUUCCGCAAUGGACGAAAGUCUGACGGAGCAACGCCGCGUGAGUGAAGAAGGCCGUCGGGUCGUAAAACUCUGUUGCCGGGGAAGAACAAGUGCCGUUCGAACAGGGCGGCGCCUUGACGGUACCCGGCCAGAAAGCCACGGCUAACUACGUG
This 500-nucleotide ribosomal RNA is filed under the name uncultured bacterium. RNAcentral's name for it is "partial 16S ribosomal RNA". It matches the Rfam family "Bacterial small subunit ribosomal RNA", at positions 28 to 507 of the family's 1533-position model. The record is from RNAcentral.